RNAcentral lists this transfer RNA (60 nucleotides) under Mesocricetus auratus (golden hamster). The record is from Rfam by way of RNAcentral. Lineage: Eukaryota; Metazoa; Chordata; Mammalia; Rodentia; Cricetidae.
GUGGCUCAGCGGUUAAGAGCACUGGCUACUUGUCCAAAGGACCUGGGUUCAAUUCCCAGC